GAUGAACGCUAGCGGUGCGCCUAACACAUGCAAGUCGAGCGGGAUUAUACGAGUUGAAACUUUCGGGUGAAUACAUGUAUAUGAGAGCGGCGAACGGGUGAGUACUACCUUGGUACCUGCCCCCAAGUCAGGGAUAGCCAUUGGAAACGAUGAUUAAUACCGGAUGUGCUGGAAACAGUAAAGAUUUAUCGCUUGGGGAGGGGCCUCGGUCCUAUCAGCUAGUUGGUAAGGUAAAAGCUUACCAAGGCAAUGACGGGUAGCUGGUCUGAGAGGACGAUCAGCCACAAUGGAACUGAGACACGGUCCAUACUCCUACGGGAGGCAGCAGUGAGGAAUCUUCCGCAAUGGGCGAAAGCCUGACGGAGCGACACCGCGUGAAGGAUGAAGGCCUAACGGUUGUAAAACUUCUUUUCUGAAGGAGCAUAAUGAGAGUACUUCAGGAAUAAGGGACGGCUAACUACGUGCCAGCG
RNAcentral lists this ribosomal RNA (470 nucleotides) under uncultured bacterium. RNAcentral describes it as "bacterial SSU rRNA". It matches the Rfam family "Bacterial small subunit ribosomal RNA", at positions 28 to 513 of the family's 1533-position model. The record is from RNAcentral.